This 500-nucleotide ribosomal RNA is filed under the name uncultured bacterium. RNAcentral's name for it is "partial 16S ribosomal RNA". It matches the Rfam family "Bacterial small subunit ribosomal RNA", at positions 30 to 523 of the family's 1533-position model. The record is from RNAcentral.
AUUGAACGCUGGCGGAAUGCUUUACACAUGCAAGUCGAACGGUAGCACGGACUUCGGUCUGGUGGCGAGUGGCGAACGGGUGAGUAAUGUAUCGGAACGUGCCCAGUCGUGGGGGAUAACGUAGUGAAAAUUACGCUAAUACCGCAUACGAUCUAUGGAUGAAAGCGGGGGAUCGCAAGACCUCGCGCGAUUGGAGCGGCCGAUAUCAGAUUAGGUAGUUGGUGGGGUAAAGGCCCACCAAGCCAACGAUCUGUAGCUGGUCUGAGAGGACGACCAGCCACACUGGAACUGAGACACGGUCCAGACUCCUACGGGAGGCAGCAGUGGGGAAUUUUGGGCAAUGGGCGAAAGCCUGAUCCAGCCAUUCCGCGUGCAGGAUGAAGGCCCUCGGGUUGUAAACUGCUUUUGUACAGAACGAAAAGGUUUCUACUAAUACUAGGAGCUCAUGACGGUACUGUAAGAAUAAGCACCGGCUAACUACGUGCCAGCAGCCGCCGUAA